This 425-nucleotide ribosomal RNA is filed under the name uncultured bacterium. RNAcentral describes it as "partial 16S ribosomal RNA". It matches the Rfam family "Bacterial small subunit ribosomal RNA", at positions 338 to 780 of the family's 1533-position model. The record is from RNAcentral.
CCUACGGGAGGCAGCAGUGGGGAAUCUUGGGCAAUGGGCGAAAGCCUGACGCAGCGACGCCGCGUGGAGGAAGAAGGCCUUUGGGUUGUAAACUCCUUUUGUGGGGGACAAUGGUGAUGGUACCCCAUGAAUAAGCCACGGCUAACUCUGUGCCAGCAGCCGCGGUAAGACAGAGGUGGCAAGCGUUGUUCGGAAUCACUGGGCUUAAAGGGCGUGUAGGCGGCAUUGCAAGUCUGGGGUGGAAUCCGGUGGCUUAACCACCGAACUGCCCUGGAAACUGCAUUGCUUGAGUCAGUGAGGGGAGGGCGAAAUUCCCGGUGUAGCAGUGAAAUGCGUAGAUAUCGGGAGGACCACCAGUGGCGAAGGCGGCGUCCUGGCCGACACCUGACGCUGAAGCGCGAAAGCGGGGGGAGCGAACGGGAUUA